CGGCCGUUGACUUUUAUCAGUGUAGUCCUGGAAUGACUCUUCUAUCACCCAAUCAGAUCUGUGCGACAGUGUAAGCAGAAGGUGCUCACCGAUCAUCUCUGCCGAGGAAGUCUGUGUCCUACGUGAGCAGCUGACUCAGGAGCUGGACAAAGAUCGGCGAGCGAGGAGAAGAGCGGCGGAGCGACAUGUCAGGGCGUGUCCCAUCUGCGUAACACCGAGGAGCCUUUCGCCCGCAGCACACGCAGGGCCCAGACAGAAGACUCCUCUCUCGCUGCAUUUGUGUCAUAACUACAUGAGAAUAAACAAAAAGCAGACUGCUGUCUCAUGAUGAUGACCACACCUCAGACUAAUAAAAACCCUGAACGGUGCAGGGGUAGGCUAAUUGGGGCUGAGUUGCCAUGGUGUGAUUAUAACCGUGAAUGCUAAUAUCGGUGAGUCAGGAAUACUGUACAGUUGUAACAGACAGUUUCAGGUGGAUUAAGUAGAAACACAAACACACGUCCCUCAUGCUACGACAUCAAGCGUGAAACACAAAUAGAGUUUUAGGAGCAUGUCAAUAGGCAUACUUCUCCAUGACUUAACGUUUUCAUUAUGACACUGUUUUCAAACGGCUUUCCUUUGGAAACUGGAACAUCUGU
Cyprinus carpio carpio is the source of this 638-nucleotide long non-coding RNA. Lineage: Eukaryota; Metazoa; Chordata; Actinopteri; Cypriniformes; Cyprinidae. The record is from Ensembl.